Molecule: small nuclear RNA, 104 nt
Filed under: Cervus elaphus hippelaphus
Lineage: Eukaryota; Metazoa; Chordata; Mammalia; Artiodactyla; Cervidae
Source: RNAcentral
GUGCUCGCUUUGGCAGCACAUAUACUAAAAUUGGAACGAUACAGAGAAGAUUAGCAUGGCCCCUGUGCAAGGAUGACACACAAAUUUGUGAAGCGUUCCAUAUU